RNAcentral lists this ribosomal RNA (382 nucleotides) under uncultured eukaryote. RNAcentral describes it as "partial 18S ribosomal RNA". It matches the Rfam family "Eukaryotic small subunit ribosomal RNA", at positions 592 to 976 of the family's 1831-position model. The record is from RNAcentral.
UGUAAGCGUAUACCAAAGUUGUUGCAGUUAAAACGCUCGUAGUCGGAAUUUGGCAGUUCCGGAUGUGUGCACGUCGUGUGCGCACUUCGCGGGGAUUGCUUUUGUGGUCUUGCGUAGGAUGAGGCACUUUUAUUAGUGAACGUCCUCACGCAACCACUUUUUACUGUGAGAAAAUCAGAGUGCUCAAAGCAGGCAUUUGCCGUGAAUGUAUUAGCAUGGAAUAAUAGAAUAGGACUUGGUUCUAUUUUGUUGGUUUGUUGGGACUGAGUAAUGAUUAAGGGGGACAGUUGGGGGCAUUUGUAUUUCGGUGCUAGAGGUGAAAUUCUUAGAUUACCGAAAGACAAACUGCUGCGAAAGCGUCAGCCAAGGAUGUUUUCAUUGA